Non-coding RNA from Rattus rattus (black rat), 516 nucleotides. Lineage: Eukaryota; Metazoa; Chordata; Mammalia; Rodentia; Muridae. The record is from the annotation of a RefSeq genome assembly.
AUGGCCACCAGGUUCCUUUACUACCUGGUCCUUUGUUUCUUGAGAGCAGAACCAACAAAUGGUGGUGUCAUCCAAACACCUAGACACAAGGUGACAGGGAAGGGACAAGAAGUAACUCUGAGAAGUGAGCCAAUUUCAGGACAUUCUGCUGUUUUCUGGUACAGACAGAGCACUGUGAAGGGACUGGAAUUCCUGAUUUACUUUAACAACCAAGCUCCUAUAGAUGAUUCAGGGAUGCCCAAGGAACGAUUCUCAGCCCAGAUGCCCAAUCAGACGCUCUCCACUCUGAAGAUCCAGACCACACAACCCCAGGACUCUGCAGUGUAUCUUUGUGCCAGCAGCUUAGACACAGAGCUGCAGACUCAUGUUCUGCUGAGACAGAAACCAAAUUCUUCCUCUUCCAGGUCCACCUCCAAGAACCUGUUCUUAACUGUGAUCCUGAGGUUUUUUUCACAACAGGAAGUACAUGGGUUUAAUGCUGUUUCUGGCCCUAGACAAGACAAGAACAGAUGGUAA